CUUGUUUAUUUCAGCAUUUUUAUUAGAUUUAAAGAGGAAAAGUUAAUUGGACACAACUAGCUUCUCUCACCAAAUAAAAAACCCUCAACACCACCAAACACAGAGGAGGAAAAGUAUGCAUUUUAUGUCAAAAUGAAUUUGUUUUAGCACAUCAGUUAAUGGAGACAGCCAAAGUCUUCUGAAAACUCAUACUUUCGAUAAGCUGCAUCUGAGACUCCCCCCAUCCCUCUCCUGCUGUUAUUCUUGUGUGUAACGAUACUUAGAGCAGGCAAAUGCUAUUCAGGAGAAUUCACACGAGCUGACAGAAAUGAGUGUUGAUGGCUCUUUUCAAAAUAUCAAGGAGUAUGAUAUUUUGAUACCUUCACUUCAAAACAAUGCUCAAAGCACUGAAAAAGAAAGCAUAUCUCUAACUUAUCGUCAUUAUGCUGAACUGACUGUCAUUCUUUGGAGACUCUUCGAAGGCAUUGUUCAUAUUUAUCAAGGUAUGUCUUACCCCAUGAGGAGCAUGUGAGAUCACUCCAUUGAUGUCGUCAGCUCCAAGCUAUUGGGUUUGGGAGGAUUGUUCAUUGCUCAGGCUAGUGGACUGGAAGGAGCUAAUUUGAUUGACUUUGAACAUCAAGUUUCCAUGCUGGAGGUCCAUGGUGCCUUGACAGUCUCGACGAUCAUGGUCAGUGAGCUCAUCAGUGGCUAGUCAGGUUGCACCUGACAUACGUCAAUGUCUAGAACAACAAUACACGCUAACAUUAGCUAAUGCCCAAAGUGAUGGUGAUUUGAAUGAAUGGAGCAGAUUUAAAUUUAUGUGUGCAAAUAUGAAUUGUAAUGACAGUUCUGAACCUAAUGAUUCCCUCCUGACCUCAGCUCAAACAAAGCCAAUGUAUUUGGACAUGUUAUUUCAGAAGAACAUAAAUGAUGUUGCUAUUUACCAGAAAGAACAUUAUUUUCAUAACAGUACCCUUAAAAUAGUCGUUAUGUCUGUAGCUGUGGCUCACAACAUAUGCAGAUGGGGACCAUAUGCUCAUGGGGACCUGGGUUCAGGUCUGGCCCGGGUCAUGUCACAGACCUGUUUCACAGCCACAUCUUUCUUACUUUACUAUCCUGUUGCCUUUUCACUUUACAAUAAAUAAAUUAAAUAAAAAUGUUUAAUAAUUAAAUUAAAUAUAUAAAAUAGUAUAAAGUAUAAAUAUAUAUUUGUUUUUAUAAUAUAAAUAUUAUAUAUUUAACACUGUAGCAUGCAAAGUACUAAAUACUAAAUAUAUUUAAUAUCAAUAUAUUAUUAUUAUUAAAGCUAGAACAGCUAGAAAAUUAUAAUACAAUUCUGACAACUUGCAUAUGAAUAAAUCUGUUUGCAUUUACCAUGUUGAAUGUUUUAUUGCAUAAUACAUGUAUUUUUUUUUUUUUCUAAUGUAUGUGGCUUUAUCUAAAAGCAUUAUAUUAAUGCUGUGAUAAUGAGUCAGAGACGUUCGGAUCCAUUUGCAGUAGUAUUUAUUAGAGAAUGGUCAGACAAGAAGUAAUCAGAUAACAGCGUCAAAGUAUGUCAAAGGAUAUCCAGAAUCAGAAACAAUACCAGGCAGAGGUCGGGGCAGGCAGCAGAUGAAGAAUCGAGAAUCAGUGAACAGUCAAAGGUCAGAUACCAGGGAAUCAACAAUGUAGAUAAACGCUCGGAAAUGUUAGCCGGGGCAGAACAAGACUUCGCAAAGUGCAAGAGUCCGGAGGCAGUUUAUAUAGAGGGGUGAAGUGAAAACAGCUGUGCAGGUGAUCAGACCUAGGUCCGGGGCUGAUGGGAAAUGUAGUUCAAUACUCAGGUGACGGUGUCCUUCGGUGAUCAGAAGGACACCGUCCUCCCUGCGAGCGGCUCCUGAAGCUAGGACCAGUGCGAUGCCGAGGUCUUCCACAGGAUAUGGGGGCAGGUCUUUCAGGGUGGUUCUGAUGAAACUCAGCGGUAAGUCCUGUGAUCUCACCCAGGAUCUCUCCUCUGGACCAUACCCCUCCCAGUCGAUCAAGUACUGUAACUCCCUGCCUCUGCGUCUUGAGUCAAGUAUCUCCCUCACUCGGUAGGCCUCCUCGCCGUCGAUGAUGAUGGGAAGGGCGCUCUCUCCCGCGACCUCAUCCUGGUCCCUCUCUCCUCUCAGAACACUGGCAGGUUUGAGCAAGGAAACAUGAAAGAUCGGAGAAAUGCUAUAAGCGGAUGGCAAGGCUAGACGAUAUAAAACAGGGAUUAUUUGUCUGAGAAUCUUAAAAGGACCCACGUACCUAGGGCUUAGCUUCUUGCUGGGAAGUUGAAGAUGAAGGUCCUUGGAUGAUAGCCACACCCACUGUCCAGGAGCAUACUGGGUCCCCUUCUCCGAUGACGAUCAGCCUGUUCUCUGACUCUGCUAACUGCUCGUUGAAGGUGUACGUGAGCAUUGUUCCAUGUCUCCUCACUUCUCUGUAACCAUGUAUUAACGGCCGGGAGAACUGAAGGCUCCCCGGACCAGGGAAACAGAGGGGGUUGGUAUCCUAGUACACAUUGGAAAGGGGUGAGGCCCGCAGAGGGUUUGAGCAAUGCGUUCUGGGCGUACUCGGCCCACAUGAGGAAAUGGCUCCAGUCUUGCUGGUUCUGAUGACAGUAGGUGCGUAGAAAGCGUGUGAGUUCCUGAUUUAGCCUCUCCACCUGUCCAUUAGACUGUGGAUGAUAUCCGGAGGUUAAACUGACGUUGAUAUUGAGUUGACCACAGAAUGCCUGCCAAACCCGGGAGGUGAAUUGGGGUCCCCGAUCCGAGACUAUAUCCUCAGGUAACCCAUAAAUUCGGAAGACCUGCUGUAUUAAAGCCUCCGCUGUCUGCAAAGCUGUGGGUAGUUUGGCCAAGGGAAUGAAUCUGCAAGCCUUGGAGAAUCAAUCAACCACUGUCAGAAUGGUAGUGUAGUUCUGGGAGGGGGGUAGAUCUGUGACAAAAUCAAUAGCAAUAUGGGACCAUGGGCAUUGUGGCAUAGGUAGUGGCUGAAGUAAUCCAGCUGGUUUCUGAUGGGAUGAUUUGACAAUGUUGCAUGUGGUGCAUUAAUGCACGAAGGUGAUCACAUCGGCCUGGAGUGUAGGCCACCAGAAAUGGUUCGUCACAAGGUGAGUGAUGGCGAUGAUCCGGGAAGUCCAGCACUGGGAGUAUUAUGCACCCAUUGUAACACCCGUGUGCGAAGGCACAGUGGCACGUAUGUGCGAUCUGGGGGGCAUUCGGGCGGUGAUUGCUCUCCCCUCUGUGCUGCUGAAAUCUCAGUCAUGAUGUCUCACUGUACCAGGGCUAGAAUGAGUGUCGCAGGAAGUACUGGAUCUGAUGUGGGGGAACUAGGGGAAUUUUCAAACUGACGAGACAGAGCAUCGGCCUUGCCGUUCUUGGAGCCUGGGCAAUAUGUGACCUUAAAAUUGAAUCGAGUAAAGAAGAGGGACCACCUGGCCUGUCUGGGGUUCAGUCAUUUAGUUUGCAGAAUGGUAGGCACAGGGGAAAAGUUUAGCUGGACUUCCAUGCCGCUGUGACAGUAUUGCCCCGAUUCCUGUGUUGGAGGCGUCCACUUACACAAUGAAUUCCCGUUCGGGAUCUGGAUGAUGCAGAAUGGGAGCUGUAGUGAAUUUCUCCUUGAGCUGUUUGAAUGCGGCAAUACUCUCGGAUGACUAGUUUAAACGCUGUCCACCCCCUUGAAGUAGAGAUGUGAGUGGCGCUGCCGUGAUGCAGAAUAGAUUAGAAUAUCGUCAAUGUAGACAAUGAGAUUUUUGUUUAGCAUGUCUCGGAAGACCUCAUUCACAAAUGCCUGGAAUACUGAGGGACUUUUGGCGAGCCCGAACGGCAUCACGUGAUAUUCAUAGUGCCCGGUAGUGGUUGAGAAGGCUGUUUUCCACUCGUCUCCCUCCCUGAUCCGAAUCAGAUUAUAAGCAUUGCGAAGGUCCAACUUUGUUAAGUAUCUUGCGGUGUGGAGCUGUUCUAGGGUGGCUGGAACUAACGGAAAUGGAUAACAAAACUUCACUGUGAUCUCGUUAAGACUGCGAUAAUUGAUACAGGGAUGUAGACCGCCAUCCUUUUUCUUUACGAAGAAGAAUCCGGCAGAAGCGGGGGAAGUGGAUGGUCUAAUGAAUCCCUUUGAGAGUUGUUCCUCGAUGUACACUUUCAUGGCGUCGGAUUCAGGUUGAGAGAGGGGAAAAAUUCUUCCCCGUGUGGGAAUGGCUCCUGGGAUGAGGUAUAUCGCACAGUCAUUGGCUCUGUGAGGGAGAAGCUGAGUGGCCCUACUCUCUCUGAAGGCUAGAGCGAGAUUGUGGUAUUCUGCAGGUAUGUUUAGGAGAUCUGGAUUCUCGGUGUGGGUGGAGAUCAGAGUGACUCUAGUGAGAGGGUGCAGGCAUUCCCUUUGACUGGUUUUGGACCACUGGAUUAUCUGUUUUUCAGUCAAUGAUAUAGUAGGAUUAUGCUUCUCAAGCCAGGGCAGACCUAGAAUUAUGGGGUGUCAUGGGGAUUCAAUGGUGAACAGUUAAAUGAUCUCAGUGUGCAGGGUGCUCGUGCUUAGGGUGACUUCUUGAGAGAUGUAUUGGAUCUUGUCGGUACCCAAAGGACGUCUGUCGAACGCUGCCACUGCCACCCGGGAUUUACAUGGAAGGAGAGAAAGAUUAUGAGCUUUAGCGAAUGACAGAUCAUUUUCCAUAUGUGGGAAAUGACAGGUGCCCCCCCCCCCCAUAGAGCCGUUGCUCAAUCCAGAGCCCUUCCACUCAACAGUGAGCAGACGAAUGAUACUCGGCUGUCCUCGGUAGGAUAGAGGUUCGGUUGCUGGUUGAUGAAUAGAGAACAUUGCAAAAGGAAUCCCUUACACUUUGCAGAUGAGCCAUCAUAUUUGUCAGGGAGGGACAGACGAGGAUUGCUAAGGGGAGUGCUCACACUCUGAAUCAGCUGAACUGGAGAUGCAGCGGGAGGAGCUGAGGUGGCUGCCUGUGUAGUAAGUGCCUGCAUUGAUCUCACUAACUCCUCGGUCAGCGAGGUCAAUUUCAUGAGCUGUUGCUGGUGAGCAGCCAGCAUAGAGGCUUGAGAUGACACCUCUGAGGUGAGACGAUACAUGGCUGCUGGAUCCUGUGUUGGUGAAGUCUUCUGUGAUGCAGAGUCAGAGACGUUCAGAUCCAAAUGCAGUAGUAUUUAUUAGAGAAUGGUCAGACAGGAAGUAAUCAGAUAACAGUGUCAAGUAUGUCAAAGGAUAUUCAGAAUCAGAAAAACAUACCAGGCAGAGGUUGGGGCAGGCAAAAGACGAAGAAUCGAGAGUCAAUGAACAGUCAAAGGUCAGAUACCAGGGAAUCAACAAUGUAGAUAAAUGCUCAGAAAUGUUAGAUGGGGCAGAACAAGACUUCGCAAUGUGCAAGAGUCCGGAGGCAGUUUAUGUAGAGGAGUGAAGUGAAAACACCUGUGCAGAUGAUCAGACCUAGGUACGGGGCUGAUGGGAAAUGUAGUUCAAUACUCAGGUGACGUGUCCUUCGGUGAUAGGAGAGAGCCACAAAGGCGCGAUCUAUGACAAAUGCAUAUAAAAUUAAAAUUCUGUCAUAAUUUACUCACUCCAAAAUAAGAUAUUUUGAAAACAUGUCUCAGUUUUUUUUUGUCCAUACAAUUAAAGAAAAUAAUAACAGAAUUUUAAUUUUUGGGUGUACUGUCCCUUUAAUUGUCACAAUUUAACAUCAGUAGAGACUAGGUUGACGUCAUUGUUAAAGUAGUUAAAGUCAUCUACACUUACAUGCAUAGGGGAUGUCAUUCCUGAUCUUCUACACAGGUGUCAUGUUAACACUCCCACUUUUUCUAUGUGUCAGCCACAUGCAACUCCCUCUCGGCUUUGUUUCUGCACCUGACAUACAUUUCUUUCACUACUCACAGGCAGCCAUGGUGAUAAUGAGUAUAUCGAUUUCAUGACAAAUCACAAGUGGCAAAAACACCAAGAAAUGCUGCGCAUCCCCAAACUCCUGGCAGUCAUAUUUAUGGUGGGGAGGAUAUGGUCGGCUCGCUCAUCCUGACAGAGGUGUUCUUAUUUGAGGCGGCACAUCUCAUCAUCACACGGGUGCUUGUGAGGCAGAGGACAACUUCAUAAACAUGGAGAGCCGAACCCACUACUCCACAAAUUGGUGUUGUGUAGUGACAUCACUUCAGUCUCUUGGCUGUCUGGUCUCUUGGAUGCGGCCCUCAAAGGAGGUGUUGAAAAGUAAACAGUGCCUAGCUGGAAGGGAAACGAGUGCAUUUACUUCCCACCUCGUGCAUAGCUCACGUGGGAAGUCUGAGUGAAGAUGGUCCCCGGUGGGUUUGCUGACAAACUGGGGGAUCCUACUAGGCACCCAUCCUUCUAGCACUUGACAAAUAAAUGGGAAACACUGUUGACAGCUGUUCACAAUGAUGCAGAAGAGAGGGAAUUGCAUUAAAAGAGUGGCACUCCUGACAGAUAUUGCCCUUUCGUACAAAAAAAGCACAUAAAACAAAGGGGAGGAAAUCUAUUUGAAGGUGCAGCGAGCAACAAGCUGUGUUUUUAAUGCUGAAUUCGGUGCCGCUCAAAUCCCUCCUCCCCAUCCACAAAGCGCUGUGGUGGCACUUCACAAAAUAAAACAAGCUAGCACAUUUGGAGAGCACACUCUGUGCCAGGGGUUUGAUAAGAGUGGACUAAUUGCUGCAAACCAAAGAACAGUGCAGCUUGUCAGCAUGGCAUAUAGCUGGAGGUAGGGUCCAUCCUGAGUCAGUAUGCGUGUGUUAGAUAUUCUGUAUUUAAUUGAAGGGCCCACGGUACACUAGGGGAGGCUAAGGGGAAUUAUUAGGUUUUAACCAGGGGCCUUCUGGGAAAAGGGCCCUAAUCAGGAAGCUGGGGAGCGAGUGGAGGCUGAUGAGAAUUAUGACGAUUAUGACAUGUUAGCACAUGUCUGUAGGACAAGUGGACAGACGAUGAGUUAAUCAAGGGCUCGAUUAAAUGGCUCCCAUGCUGUCAGAAAGCUACCCCCAGCCUUCCGUGUCAACGUCUUCUUUUUAGGGUCAGCAUCUACCUUUAAUGACUUAUGGACGUGUGUGUGUGUGUGUGUGUGUGUGUGUAUAUAUAUAUAUAUAUAUACAUAUAUAUAUAUAUGUGUGUGUGUGUGUGUGUGUGUGUGUGGUUUUAAGUCUUGUAUUACUCAUUGCUUGGUGCCUCAUUAACAAUUCACGUCCAUCAUAUGCAAACACUUUUAUAUGUGCAAAACAGUGACCUUGAGUCAAAGGCAUAGUUCAGAUAAAAAUGAAAACUGUCAUCAUUUACUUACCCUCAUGUCAUUCCAAACCUGCAUGACUUUCUUUAAUCUGCAGAAAAAGGAUCUCAAUGUUUGUAUGAACAAAAAACACUCUUGAAAUUGUGUUUUAACAUAAGGGUGAGUAAAUGGCAAAACUUCACUGUAGAGCAACACUAACAUUUCAUAUCCCAUACUACAUGUACAGUGUGUGUUGAUCUUCAAUUCUUUCAAAUUUUGCAGAAUUACAGGGACCAGCAUAGCUCCUUAUGACAAAUUUUAUGUCCUGUAAUGCUCUGAUUAGGUCAUGCUUUUUACCAGAAGAGAGUGUUUAGCUUUAGGUUGUGUAUUUCUGUAAUUUUCUGUAAUUAGUUGACUGUUUUAUAGAGCCCUCAUUUUCAUUAUCACUGUUGACUUAAAUUUAAGCUUAUAUAUGAUAAAGGGCAUACGUAUUAGCUGUGCUACGCUAAUCAGUCAACGAUGAUAUCUAUAAACAUCAAUUUAAGCAACUGAAACCACUUUUAACUCAUUCAGUUUUUUUUUCUUUUUUUAUCAGAUACCCUUUGUUCAUUGUCUCUCUUUCCUUUUGCGUUGACAACAUUUACAAACUUACGCUUUGAUUGUUUAAUCCGUGACUGAAAUACAGGGUUUGACUGGUAUCAAUCUGCAUGGCAUCUUUUCCUGGAGAAAUAAUGAAUAGACAAAUAAAAGUUACAAAUAUGUGGAAACAGUUUUACAGCACACAGGUUUCUGCUGUGCCUGUCAAUAUUUUUUUGGCAAUACAAGCAUUAUAGUAAGCCGAGCUAUGCUAACCAGUUAUCUGGUUAUGAUUUCUGUGCAAUUCCAUUGAUUCAUUAUCCCUAAAUGACAUUUUCAGUGGAACUAACUGGAAUAUAUGAAUUGCAAACUUGUUUACCAUGUUUUGUUCUUCAAUGUCUGCUCAUUUAGUUUUCUGAAAUGUCUCUUCAUUAGCCAGGCUCAUGUGUUUCUUAGCGUCAAGCUAAUUGAUUGAACCUCUCAUAUGUUAAUCCUCCUUUGGAGGGACCAAUACCCUCUGCACUCGAAUUUACUUUUUUCACCCUAUCACUAAUAAAGCCAACCUCCCUGCUGAUGGAAAAUUGUCGGUUUACCUCAAGCUACAUGGGGCUUAGCAAUCAGGCCUUAAAAAAGCACUGACAGGUUAACCUGCUGUGCACAGGGGUCUCCAGGGACAGGCCUCCACUUCAGUUUUACAUGCAAUGCUUCUGUUUGCCAACAAAAAUAGAGUUGUUACCAGCCACUUGAGUUUAACCUUUGCAGACCCUAGGAAAAACUGGCAUGCUCUAAACUGCUGUAUGCUCUUUAGUUCUAACCUACUUUGUUUAGUUAUGCUGCCUACAGCACUAUUUUUUGCAAAAUCACAGGAAAUGUCACACAUGUGCAUCUCAGUUUCGGGAACCAAUGAAAGAAUUUGAUAUUGGUUAUUAUCAUUACAUAACAGUUUAACCAUCUCGUUGCACUUCAAAUGGAGAUUUUAUACAUUCUAAAAUUACACUGAUCAAUUCUAUAACCAAAACACGACUGUUAUACAGUAUAUGUAGUGUGUCAGGCUUAAACACUUCCUGUGCUAUAAUCUACAACCCUUUACACAUUAUCUUACAAUUUUGGCAUGGUCAUGUCUUUGUAAUGGGCUUUUAGUGGGACAGUUUAGGGUUUUCACAGCAUUUGAAGACAGUCUACAACAAUAGACAGCACAUUCGCAUGCUUGUUCAAGGUGAAGUGGCUGUAACACAGCACUCAGAGUGGGCUCUUUAUUGUUCACUCUCUAACAACCCAUUGUGGGCCACAGAAAAUGUAAAACGUCUUCCACAGAUAUCCAUCAAAGACUUUAUCAUUACGUCUAUAAAAUAUCAAGUUCCUUUGUGAGACAUUGGUGCCUUAUUCUGUAUUUCACCCAGUCUGGUGUGUAUUGUAAUAUGCUUUUCCACGCUCAGCCACGAGUUUUCCUAAUGAUAAUCAUUGAGCAUUACUAACGACUAGCCAUUAGAGCCAUAACCACAGAGCGUUCCAAACUCCUCCUGUGUAGCACAAUGGAUCUGCAUCUAUCUGGGACCUAUCCAGGAGAUAGCGGCAGAAUUAACAUUUAUUGUUUUUGAUAGACUUUUAAGCAGCAAAGGUGUGUGCUUUUAUCAGAUGUUUUAAGAGCUUAACAGAUUUGACAGGCAUUUGAUAUCUUGAUGCCUCCUCAAGUCUCUGGUGAUUAUGUUUGAUGAUGUCAGUGUAUAUUUAGUUUUUCUCUCUUUGAUGGAAUUAUAUUCUACUUUCAUGCAUCAGACACCCCUCUUUAAUGUCUAGCUUCCUUUUUUUCCCAGUUACAACGCUUACAGAAUUACAUGUUUAGCAUGGUUUUUCAAUCUAAACCCUAAAAAUUUGCAGGGCAACAGAUUCCCUUACAGAUAUUAACUAAUCUCUAUAGUAACCGCAUCUUUUCCUAGAAAUAUACUCUUACAAACAGACAUGAAAUAAAUCAUGAAAUGUAUAUUUAUAAUAUUAAAUGAUUAAAACAAGGGUCACACAUCUAAGUAUUGUUAAUAGUUAUAAAUAAAGACAUUAAAAUCAAAUUUUCAGCAAAUACAAGUCACAUUUUCAGCUAGUUCUAGGUUAGCAAAAGUUAAAGGGCCAUUUCACCCAAAAAUGAAAAUUCUGUCUUCAUUUACUCAUAGUUCCAAAACUCUGACAUUUUUCUACUGUGAAACAAGAAGAUAUUUUGAUAAACCUCUCAGUGUUUUUUUAACCAUACAAUGGAAGUCAAUAGUAACCAAAACUGUUUUGUUACCAAAAAGUAAGACAGAAUUUGUAAUUUUGCGUAAAUAUUUAAUAUUUUUAUUCCAUACAAACCAUCCUUGAAUCUAAUAUUAAACGUUCCUCAUGGCAGUUUGCGAUGACACCUCUUUAAAAAAAGAUUGAGCUCACAUGAGUCUUUUUAACACUUUAGUGCGAAGCAAAGUACGAACAACAGGCUAAUAAACACCUUCUCUUCUCUGCCAUGUUGAUCCAGUUGUUGAUAGAGAUUCCUAGGAAUCUCUCCCCUGAGUGCAAUUGUCUGUCACUUAAUUAGCUUAGGUUUAGCACCACAUGGUCCUCAGGUGUGUGUGUGCAUUUGCUCUGGUGUGCUAGUGUCUUUGUAAGUAGGUGUUUGUACACACAGCACUUGUUCAUUGUUUAUUUUUUAACAUAUGGAUGUUUUCGUUUACAUGUAAUAGACAGAGGAGCUUACAUUUGUGUAUUGUCGAGGACCCUGAUAGUGUUUUCAUUCUGUUGUCGGUGGAAUGAAUAGCACCUUGUAGUAAACGCUGUGCUGUUGUUUUGGCUUUUUUCAUUCAUUAAAAAACAUAUUUGAAACUAUUUUUUAUUAGCAUCAGGUGGCCUUUAUAGAAAAUGCAUUCUGGCUAAUAGUUGGAUAACCGUGCGUACAUAUACAUCGCAAACAAAAAUGAAACCACAGUGUCAGCUGAUAUACAUACUACUGUUCAAGUAAAUUGAUAUGAAACUCUUUAGAUUGGAAUUCAAUUUUAUCGACUUGAUGCUGUGCAAGAAUAUUCAUUGCAUCCUUUUAGUCAAUUCAUUUAAUUAUCCCAGUCUUCCUGGGGUGCCUGCUAGAAUCACUGAAUGAAUGUAGCUUCCUCUUUCUGAAAAAUAUAAACGUUGUCAGAUGUGACCAAACCAUAUUUCCUAGCCUCUCAAUUCCGUCAAUAACUGUUAACAUAUACACAGCGGGGGGGGGAAAGCCACACACUGUCACACAUGGGUAACAUGUUGCAAUAGGUAGAAUGCCUUUUCAUUUCUUUUUAAUUUUGCAUAUCAUUGUUAUCAAUUGGUCAGACGUGUAUUUAUGAAAGUAUUUUUUUUCUGUUUUAUUCUUUGUCCCUCCUUACUCUCUUUUCAUCUUUGCUUUGGCUUCCCUGAGGAGCUCUCUUGAAAAAUGCGGCUCAUUUCAUUGUGUGCGAAUGUGCGUUUCCCCCAUUUCUCAUCUCCUCUCAGGUGGUGGUGAAAAUGGCGGCCUAUGGCUGGUCCUGUUUGGCUGGGCCGCCACUAACAAAAGCCAAUGUAAUAUAGAGGCGGCCACAGAGGCCAUGGGCCAGACGGGGAGCCCAAGCUGUGCCUCUGAAAGGGCCUGAGCCCGGCUGGUGUGGCGGCUUAAACAUACUCCACAUUCAAACCCCUGGAAAAAGAGAGGGAGAAAGAGAGAAUGAAGGCUGAAGAGAGAGAGAAAAAGCGGGUGAGAAAGAGAAGGCGACUGUUGUUUGAUAUCCCACAUUAGCUGGUGGUUUUUGCGGCUGGUGCGCGGGCGUAAAUGUGGCUGGGGUGGCUGCCACACAGAUAUCAAAGGGGGCCGACAGCAUCUGGCUGUGCUAGCGGUGGCUGCUGCAGGUGGCCCCUGGAUUCAACCCUCACCACAGGGAGGCAGCUCAGCCCAGCCUUAGCCCAGAAAGAGAUAGAAAAAGAGAGAGAGGGAGAAGGCAAAUACAGGCUUGAAAAGAAAACAAGAGAUUGAGAGAAGCUGUGUUCCUGAGGUUGGGCUGGGAGGUGGAUGGUAAGAGAAUUAAAUUACUGGGCUCCUCAUGCCCUGAUCUGCUGGGCCACAAAAGAACCCUGAAAAACCAGGAUUCACAAAGGAGAACUCAAAAAUUAAGAUGAAAACGCUAACAUUUUUAUACUUUAUAAUAUUCAACAAUUCAUACAUACACACAAAGUCUAUAUUUUCAUUGACAUGGAUAUGACUCUGGCAUGGUUACUCCUGGUUAUGGUGAGCUAUAGAUUAUGGAAGGAAUUGUGAGGGAGAAUUAAUUAUUUAACAAAACUUGAAACAACAAAACCACAGCAUGGGGCAAUGCAGUGCACCAGAGAGAAGGUCUUUUAUUAUGUUAAGUGAGAUUAUUCUGCCUUGCUGAAAUAUGGUAUGAAAAUACCAUAUGAAAAUGGCUGACGCUUCCAGAUGCUUGAUGCAUACUGAAUAUACUGUGCUAAGAUGCUGAUGAUAUGCCUUUCCAAAGAGACUAAAAAGCUAAGUGAUUAAAAAAACAACAAAUGGUUUGGAAAUUCUGAGCAUAUUAAUGUCUUAUUAAUUUAAUUUAGUGGCUUAAUAACUUAAUAAACAUCAUUUAUAUCUUAAUCCUAACAUCAUGAAUUUGAAAAGUUGCCAUUUAAUUCACCCAAAAACUAAAAUUCUGUAAUUAUUUACAUACCUUCAUGCCAUUGACAAAUACAAAAAAAAUAUUUUGAAGAAUGUUUCAUAUAAUAAAAUCAAAACAAUAUUCCAAUGACUUUUUUUUUUUUUUUUUGGAUAAAUGUUUUAUAUAUAUUAUGUCCCCUAGAAAGAUGAAAGUCGAGUUUGAAACAACAGCUACGGGUGACUAAAUAAUGAAAGAAUGUUCUUUUCUUUUCUUUUUUUUUUUUUUUGGUGACCUAUCCCUUCAAUUUAUUAGAAACAUGUUUUAUUGAAAGUACAGAGGUUAUCAGCUGGAUUUAACUUAUUUAACAACAGGACUCAGGUAAGCCAGAUUUUUGAUUUUUAUUUUUUUUUUUGGCCGCAUUACAAUGUCUCUGAAAAAGGUUGUUGAUUAGGGUCAUUUAUGUUAACUGUGUGUUGAAACCUAAUGUCAUACCAAUCAUAUAUGCUCUUCCAUCACAGCUGUGUUCUCCUCAAAAGGCUGAAUAACAGGUACUGUAAAAUUUCCUCUGCAAAUAUUUAUAAAGUCUCAUAUCACAGCUUAAAAUUCGGGCAGAGACAUAUUUUCCUAAUAUAUCCAAAUAUUUCCACAGUGUGUAACAUUGAGUCUAUUGGUUUGAGGCUGGGUGGAAUCUAAAAAUGUAAGAAUUGUUGGCCACAUUUCCAAAUCAUUCCUCAGUCACAUACUACAUUUUUGUCUCUUCUCUCUUUGCUUAGUCUGCAAUUUAUGGUCCUUUUUAAGGUUUGGUAAUUCAUAAUUGUUUGACAUUAUUUUCUGUCAUGUUUUAAUUAUGCACUAAAUUGGUAAAGUCUCUUUCCAGUCUGGAAUGAAUGAAGUUGCAUUGAAUUUGUAUACUUUUUUCCCUUCGCUUGUACAUUAUAAGCCACCAGCAGAUGGGUCUCAUUAUCAAGGGUCACACAAAAUCCUAAUUAGAUCAUCAAAAGGUGAUAAUUGUUCUUUAUAUAGUGCCAAAAAAAUAUUUUGUCUAAAUCAUACAGAUGCUCCAGUUGACACGUUUACGCUGGGAAUCUUUUAGCUAAUAGCGCAGCCAAUAGUUUAUUCAAGCAGGGUUUUUCUUAUUAUAUUAAAACCAACAUUUUAAAUAAUGGUGAUUAAUAUCACAAUAGCAGCAGUAUUCUGACUCGUCUCACCAUUUCGUUUGAUAAAAUAACCAUCAGGUCAAUCCUUCACAUGCUAACACACUCAAAUAGAGUUUUACGGUUGCACACUCAUUGCAGGCUGUAAUACCUUGCUCUGCAUUAACCUUUUACAGUGAUAUUUAAUUAAAGGUUUAAAGGGCACCCAACACCUGCACCAUGCUCUGAAUGCAGCCUCCGCCACUAAGUGACGGCACGACGGAGGAGUGUGGCAAUUAGCAUGACCUUAAAACAGGCACGGACGCUCUCUUGCCCAUGCUGUGCAGAGCCUUGCCUGCCCCAUGGCAUGCUGGGGCAAUCGAGAUGGCCCCCAAGCUGACAUGCUCCCCUGCAAAAGUGAGUGGAACCAGCCCAGAGGUCACUAGGGCAGCUCAGGACCUCUGGGAGGAGGUGGGAGAGCCCUAGACUUAAAAUUAACACCACUUGAAUUCAUCUGUGAGGUAAAUCUAGCAGUGAGGGUCAUGUAGGUCUAUCGCAGUUAAUAAAUGCUGUCUUAAGAUGACAAUGAGAGGCCAAAUCAGGCUAGUUUGGGCUGGCUUUUUUGUCAUCAUUUACUCACCCUCAAGUUGUUUUAAACCUGUAUGACUUUAGUUCUAUUGUGGAAAACAAAGACAUUUUUUGCCCAUACAAAUCUUUUUUUUUUCUUUCAACCUCGUUGAUUCUUAUUGUAAUGGCAAAAGAAAUGAAAUAUUCCACAGAAUUUUCUUUUUUUUCCACAGAGGGAAGAAAGUUUGGAAUGAAUGGAAUGGAAUUGGGAGGAACAACUUCCUCUCAAUCAGUAUGACUUCCGAAAUGCAGUGGGAAUGUCUGAGUGCAGAAUCAACCAAUCAGAAAUUUGCAAAAAGGCAGCAGAAGGUGUCAUCUUCAUUGGACCUGACACACAUGCUACUCAAACCAUGGGAGACAAGAUCAGAGGCAAAUUAAUCGCCAAGAUGCCAAGGUCAGUGUCGUGCCCCCAUACACGUGGGCUGGUCAAGAAGACAGCAAUACAGGAUGAAGUUUAUUUACAUCGCUGUCAACUGUUCCCUGCAUAGCAACAAAGCCAAUGAUUUCCACAUAAGAGCAGUAGGGAGACUCGGGUAGACAGCCCCUCCAGAGCCCGCUGAAGUGAAGCAUUAGUUGGGUAUGUUGGCUGGUCUCGCCCGGCCGCCCCACAGCAGGUUUGAAGCCUCUUCUAUCUUUGCCUCCAUUCAAUAGAAGAGCUGCUCCCCCUGCUGCCUGUCUCAAGCAACAACUUCCUCUUCCCUCACCCCUUUCAAUGGCACCCUUCACAUUUUCUCUCAUUUAAUCCCUAUUUCUUUCUCUCUCUGCAGUGAAACAGUAAGGAUGGUCCUGAUGAUACCCGUUUAGCAGUGGCUGACAUGAGUAGAGGUCUAUCAAGGAGGUCUGUUAAGCUAAUGGCGAGACAGAAACCCAUAUGGGAGGCCUUUUCCUAUGGAUACAGCUGCUGCGUUCCAGCUCUGUAGCUCUACGUUUGUGGGUUCAAUUAACUCAUACUGAUGCUUGCUUAAUUCAAUCUCCUGUUAGAAAUGUUUCAGUGUGCCAACAUAAUAACUGUAAUCACCUUGUCAUCAAGUCCCAUUGAACUCAAUCAUCCGCCUCUGAAAUGCAUUAUUCCCGUGUUUGACAGCCUACAGAGUCUUCAUGUUACUUUGUGUUCAUCUGAUCAUGAUUGAGAGAUUUAAAUGAACUUUUUUUUUAGACCUCUUUGCUGAGGUAGCACGUAUCCCAUGUUAUUUUACAAAUGGUCAGUUGUCAUAAUCUUAAUUUUACUGGCUCAAAGUUUCAAAUUAAGUUGCUCUCUGCUGGUAGGCUUUGCUUUCAGAUGCAUUAAAUUUAUAUGAAUCAACUGUAAAGACAUUUAUAAUGUUGAAAAAUAUUUCUUUAUCAAAUAAAUGCUGUUCUUUUGAACUUUCUAUUCAUCAAAAAUCUUGAAAAAAGGCAUCAUGGUUUCCACAAAAAUAUUAAACAGCACAACUGUUUUCAAAAAUUGAUAAUAAUAAGGAAUGUUUCUUGAGCAGCAUAUUAGAAUGGUUUCUGAAGGAUCAUGUGACACUGAAGACUGGAGUAAUAGCUAAUGGAAAUUCAGCUUUGCUAUCAUAGGAAUAGAUGACAUUUCAAAAUAUAUUAAAAUAGAAAGUUUGUUUGAUGUUUGUUUAUUUAAAAAACAUUAAAAAAAAAUAAUGGGACUCCAAAGUUUUGAACUUCACACAUAUUAAUCAAACUUCACUUGUUCUUGGCUUUGUGUGCUUUGCUUUUAAAAAAAAUGGAGGUGAUGCCUGAUGUGUAUUUAAUUCUUCAAAUAUUCAAUUACACGUUGUGUCAUGUAUAAUAACGGAGCAAGUUAACCUACUGACUGAUGGACACAAUGCUGGAUCUUCUCCUAAUCACUCUUUCGUUCUCUUUAACAGAACCAUGAUGGUACGAUGGCUCUGACAUUCUGUUCAUACCCCCAUCCAUUGAUUGUCUGCACCAUAAGCCCCAAGAGGGAGCUUAUUUGGGCCUGGCUGCAGCAUGCGGGUGUGUUAGGGAGCACAGGGUGGUCCCAUGGACCAGAGAGGGCAGCUAACUGGAGUAAACAGGACUCAGCAGGCUUAGUGUUUGUGUUUACUCUGCUGGAGAGGAGGCCAUUAGAGCAAACAGCCAGCGUUUCUUCACAUGUUGCUGAAAAUCACCCCAACCUUCAUUCACUCCUGUUUGGCACUACUAACACCCAGCCAGUGUGCCCAGAUGGCCCUGCUUUCCAGAUCUCUCACUGUUUCUGCCCUCUCUCCCCUCCCUCAAUGUGCCGUGGCGUCAUUAAAAGUGUCUGUGAGCGGGAGGUGUAAAAAAGGGUGCCGAGAGAGGAAGCAGAAAACAAUUUAGUGGCAUUUAAAAAUAAAGUCCUCCCCCUAUUUACAUGGCCUAUCUAAUCCAAUCUAGGCUGUGUCUGCAUUUUUAAUUUGCACAUUCAAGCAAGCUUCAGAGAGGAACCUAGGCUUAAUUAGUUUAGUUAUCUCCCCUCAUGAAUGGAUAAAGUUCCCACACUGCUGGUGUUUCAGAUGAAGCCUAAUUGGAUUUCGAGGCCAAAAACAAAAGGAGUAAUAAAAGAAAUGAGGGUUAGAUAACAGAGGAAGAUUGAAUUGAUAAAGUGAAAGGGGAAUGAACUGUAGUCACAGCUGAGGAGAGAGACAAGAUGCGGUCGAGAUCCUCGUUUGAGGUCAAAAUCAGUGUAUUAGGGCCAAUGACAUAUGAAGAAAAAUCUUUUUAAAGAAUGAAAAAAAAAUGAAUUGGAAACUCUUAGAAAUGUACUCUUUUCUUAUUAGUUUCAUGUGGUAUAACCAAGUACAAACACUGUGAAGAUGUGCAAAAUAUCUUCUCAAAUAUAUAUGAGUAAUCUUAAUCAUUAUUUCCAAACAAAGUUAGUAUAUAAUAUUAUGUUUAAUAAGUUCAAUAUGUUAUAUUUAACAUAUAAAGUAUUUUUGAAUUUAAAAUUCAUAAAUAUUUAAAUUUUUGGAUAAUCUCCCUGCAUGAUAUUGUACACUUGAUCUCACACUACCUUUCUAAUAUUUAAUCAUAAAUUACUUGUAUAAAUAUUUUAGUUUUUCUUAUUUUUCUGAAUUUUUGUCUUUUAAUUGGCCUUUAUCUUCAUUAUAUCAGGACAGUUGUAUGUGAUGUUUUCUAUGUUUUAUAUAUUACUGAAACAUUUUGCAUUUUAAAUGACACAAAAUUUACAACACCCCCUCAAGACCCCUCCAGGGGUUUCAGUGCAAUUUGCCAGAAAUGGCGCAUUUGAAUAUAAAAUCCAGGCCUCAAGAAAAGUAAGCCCACAUUCGGUUUUAAAUCUCAACCAGUCUUUGCCAGUAUACCGUAAUAAUACAGUUUCGUUCAGCUAGAGCAAAAGUGUCAGCAUGUUUAAAAAUCAUCAUUCUUAAAGAGACAACUGAGCCUGAGUAAAUCAAUUAUUGAACAUUACCCUUCAUUGUGAUAUCUGAUUCGAACAAGGUCAAGGGAAUUAUUAAUAACCUUCUGUUCUCUUUCACAGACACGUUUACAAAUUAGCACUUCUCACAGGCCUGGGACCUGCUUUAUGAAGCCGAGUUUUCGGAGCAGCCUGGAAGUGUGAAAGAGUUCCAGAGGGCAGAGCAUUUGGAGAAGUCUAGAUAAUGAGAGUCUUUUGUUAAUGCCAUUGAUCUCGAUUCAAUUAGUGAAAAGGGCCCAUGUUUGUGACUACUGUGUGCACAGCAUAUGUGUGUUUCUGUAUGUAAUUGACUUUGUAAGUCCUCAAAGAGUAAACUUGUAGCAGUUUCAAACAUUCAAUGUUAUUGUCAAGCACAAAUGAACAGCCAAGUAUGUGUGUCUUUUUUCUGUUUCUGAUUUUUUUUUUUUUUCUUUUUUUUCUUUAGCCAACUGAGCUGGUUUGGGGCUGAUCUUGUGUGAUGUAUAGAUUAAUUAAAUAAGCAUAUUGAUUCCUGUUCUGGCAACACAGAGUGUGGGGUUUUAAUUAGCCCACGCUUGAGUGUGUUAAAAUUCCUGUCUUAUCUGUGUGGAACCAAGUGGAACUAAAAACUGAAUGCAUGAGGGCUGCUCAUCAACUCAAAAUCUCCAAUAACCUUUUUUUCCCCCUUGUUUGUUUUAGUCCAACCCAAACCUCAAACUUUAUUGUAAGUGUAUGAUUUAUAUGCCAACAUUUUCAUUCCCAAUAUUAAUUUUUUUAUCUCCAAGGAAUACAAAAUAGUUAAGUAAAUAAUACAUAUAUAAAACAAACAAUUAUGUAUGUAUGUGUGUGUAUAUAUAUAUACAAAUAUACAAAGACUGUUUUGAGUGAUUAAUCACUCUGAUGUGGUCUUAAUUUUUAAGUUAUUUCUUUCAAAAAAUCUUAUUUGAAACUAAAAAAUAUACUAAAUAUUUUUCUGAUACAGGUUUUAAAAUAUCAAAGUUUUACUUAUAUUUCCUUGUAGUAUUUUUGGAUAUAUAAAUACAGUGAUCCAUAUGACCAUAAUACGGUGGCCAAGAAAUGCAAAACAGAUUACAAUUCUGAAAACAAAAUAACAAAUUACAAAUGCAAACCUAAAAAACAAAAUAACAAUUCAGAAAACACAACAACAAUUCAGAAAAUAUUAUAACAAGUCAGAAAACACAAUGA
Cyprinus carpio carpio is the source of this 18714-nucleotide long non-coding RNA. The record is from Ensembl. Lineage: Eukaryota; Metazoa; Chordata; Actinopteri; Cypriniformes; Cyprinidae.